CAAUUAGGCUCUCUCCCCAUUCCGGUGGCUUUAUGAGAGAAAAAGAGGACACACAUACUCACACAAGAAAAGUCUCUGUUACCCAGACUGGAGCAUAGUGGCAAUAAUGUAGACCACUACACCCUUGAACGCCUAGCCUCAAGCAAUUCUCACACCUGCCAAGUGACUGCCAAGUGACUGGGACUACAGGCAUGUGCCACCAUACCUGCUGAUUUUCAAAUUUUUUGCGGAGAUGGGGGUCUGGCCUCAUUCCUCGGUUCAAGACCAGAUGUUGAACUCCUGGUCUUCAGGGAUUCUCUUGCCUCUACUUUGCAGAGCAGUGGCACUAUGGGUGUUAGCCACCUCACCCAGGCUGAAGAGAGAUUAACCAUGUAAAGGAAUAAAGAUGAAG
RNAcentral lists this long non-coding RNA (391 nucleotides) under Callithrix jacchus (white-tufted-ear marmoset). RNAcentral describes it as "lncRNA (ENSCJAG00000056172.2)". Lineage: Eukaryota; Metazoa; Chordata; Mammalia; Primates; Cebidae. The record is from RNAcentral.